GAUGAACGCUGGCGGCGUGCCUAGCACAUGCAAGUCGAACGGAGAUUACGGACGGAAGUUUUCGGAUGGAAGACUGUAAUUCUUAGUGGCGGACGGGUGAGUAACGCGUGGGCAACCUGCCCUAUACAGGGGGAUAGCAGCUGGAAACGGCUGGUAAGACCGCAUAAGUCGGUUAAAUCGCAUGAUUUGAUCGGGAAAUGAGCAAUCAGGUAUAGGAUGGGCCCGCGUCCGAUUAGCCAGUUGGCAGGGUAAAAGCCUACCAAAGCGACGAUCGGUAGCCGGACUGAGAGGUCGGACGGCCACAUUGGGACUGAGACACGGCCCAAACUCCUACGGGAGGCAGCAGUGGGGGAUAUUGCACAAUGGAGGAAACUCUGAUGCAGCGACGCCGCGUGAGUGAAGAAGUAUUUCGGUAUGUAAAGCUCUAUCAGCAGGGAAGAUGAUGACGGUACCUGACUAAGAAGCCCCGGCUAACUACGUG
Molecule: ribosomal RNA, 481 nt
Filed under: uncultured bacterium
Lineage: Bacteria
Description: partial 16S ribosomal RNA
Rfam family: Bacterial small subunit ribosomal RNA
Source: RNAcentral